CCUACGGGGGGCAACAGUGAGGAAUAUUGGUCAAUGGGCGCGAGCCUGAACCAGCCAAGUAGCGUGAAGGAUGACUGCCCUACGGGUUGUAAACUUCUUUUGUCGGGGAGCAAAAGCCGGACGUGUCCGGCUGUGAGAGUACCCGAAGAAAAAGCAUCGGCUAACCCCGUGCCAGCCGCCGCGGUAAGACGGAGGAUGCGAGCGUUAUCCGGAUUUAUUGGGUUUAAAGGGUGCGCAGGAGGAUUUUUAAGUCAGCGGUCAAAUCGUGGGGCUCAACCCCAUCCAGCGGUUGAAACUGGGGAUCUAGAGUGUGCGAGAGGUAUGCGGAAUGCGUGGUGUAGCGGUGAAAUGCAUAGAUAUCACGCAGAACCCCGAUUGCGAAGGCAGCAUACCGGUGCACAACUGACGCUCAGGCACGAAAGCGUGGGUAUCGAACAGGAUUAGAUACCCUAGUAGUC
Molecule: ribosomal RNA, 458 nt
Filed under: uncultured bacterium
Lineage: Bacteria
Description: partial 16S ribosomal RNA
Rfam family: Bacterial small subunit ribosomal RNA
Source: RNAcentral